RNAcentral lists this ribosomal RNA (433 nucleotides) under uncultured bacterium. RNAcentral's name for it is "partial 16S ribosomal RNA". It matches the Rfam family "Bacterial small subunit ribosomal RNA", at positions 29 to 507 of the family's 1533-position model. The record is from RNAcentral.
AACGAACGCUGGCGGCAGGCCUAACACAUGCAAGUCGAGCGAGGACUUCGGUUCUAGCGGCGGACGGGUGAGUAACGCGUGGGAAUGUGCCCUUCUCUACGGAAUAGCCCUGGGAAACUGGGAGUAAUACCGUAUACGCCCUAUUGGGGAAAGAUUUAUCGGAGAAGGAUCAGCCCGCGUUGGAUUAGGUAGUUGGUGGGGUAAUGGCCUACCAAGCCGACGAUCCAUAGCUGGUGUGAGAGGAUGAUCAGCCACACUGGGACUGAGACACGGCCCAGACUCCUACGGGAGGCAGCAGUGGGGAAUCUUAGACAAUGGGGGCAACCCUGAUCUAGCCAUGCCGCGUGAGUGAUGAAGGCCUUAGGGUUGUAAAGCUCUUUCAGCUGGGAAGAUAAUGACGGUACCAGCAGAAGAAGCCCCGGCUAACUCCGUG